UGCCAGCAGCCGCGGUAAUAUGGACGGGGCUUGCGUUGUUCGGAAUUACUGGGCGUAAAGGGCGUGUAGGCGGCCAAUUAAGUCAGAGGUGAAAUCCCCGAGCUCAACUUGGGAACUGCCUUUGAUACUGAUUGGCUAGAGUUCGGGAGAGGGUAGUGGAAUUCCCAGUGUAGAGGUGAAAUUCGUAGAUAUUGGGAAGAACACCAGUGGCGAAGGCGGCUACCUGGACCGAUACUGACGCUGAGGCGCGAAGGCGUGGGGAGCAACCAGGGUUAGAUA
This 279-nucleotide ribosomal RNA is filed under the name uncultured bacterium. RNAcentral's name for it is "partial 16S ribosomal RNA". It matches the Rfam family "Bacterial small subunit ribosomal RNA", at positions 506 to 784 of the family's 1533-position model. The record is from RNAcentral.